AGAGCGAACGCUGGCGGCAGGCCUAACACAUGCAAGUCGAACGGACCCUUCGGGGUUAGUGGCGGACGGGUGAGUAACACGUGGGAACGUGCCUUUUGGUUCGGAAUAGCUCCUGGAAACGGGUGGUAAUGCCGAAUGUGCCCUUCGGGGGAAAGAUUUAUCGCCAUUAGAGCGGCCCGCGUCUGAUUAGCUAGUUGGUGAGGUAAAGGCUCACCAAGGCUACGAUCAGUAGCUGGUCUGAGAGGAUGACCAGCCACAUUGGGACUGAGACACGGCCCAAACUCCUACGGGAGGCAGCAGUGGGGAAUCUUGCGCAAUGGGCGAAAGCCUGACGCAGCCAUGCCGCGUGAAUGAUGAAGGUCUUAGGAUUGUAAAAUUCUUUCACCGGGGACGAUAAGUGACGGUACCCGGAGAAGAAGCCCCGGCUAACGUCGUGCCAGCAGCCGC
RNAcentral lists this ribosomal RNA (447 nucleotides) under uncultured soil bacterium. RNAcentral describes it as "bacterial SSU rRNA". It matches the Rfam family "Bacterial small subunit ribosomal RNA", at positions 26 to 518 of the family's 1533-position model. The record is from RNAcentral.